RNAcentral lists this ribosomal RNA (1506 nucleotides) under uncultured marine bacterium. Its description in RNAcentral is "16S ribosomal RNA". It matches the Rfam family "Bacterial small subunit ribosomal RNA". The record is from RNAcentral.
AUUGAACGCUGGCGGCAGCCCUUACACAUGCAAGUCGAGCGAGAAAGUUUCUUCGGAAGCGAGUAAAGCGGCGGACGGGUGAGUAACGCGUAGGAAUCUACCAUUCAGUGGGGGAUAGCUCGGGGAAACCCGAAUUAAUACCGCAUAUACCCUAAGGGGGAAAGAGGGCCUAUCCUUGGAAGCUCUUGCUGUUUGAUGAGCCUGCGUGAGAUUAGUUUGUUGGUGAGGUAAUGGCUCACCAAGACUACGAUCUCUAGCUGGUCUGAGAGGACGAUCAGCCACACUGGGACUGAGACACGGCCCAGACUCCUACGGGAGGCAGCAGUGGGGAAUAUUGGACAAUGGGGGCAACCCUGAUCCAGGCAUGCCCGCGUGUGUGAAGAAGGCCUUCGGGUUGUAAAGCACUUUAGGUAAGGAAGAAAAGUUAUUGGUUAACACCCAAUGACCGUGACAUUACUUACAGAAUAAGGACCGGCUAACUCCGUGCCAGCAGCCGCGGUAAUACGGAGGGUCCAAGCGUUAAUCGGAAUUACUGGGCGUAAAGCGCGCGUAGGCGGUUUGACAAGUUGGGUGUGAAAUCCCCGGGCUUAACCUGGGAACUGCAUUCAAAACUUUUAAACUGGAGUACGGGAGAGGAGAGUAGAAUUCAUGGUGUAGCGGUGAAAUGCGUAGAUAUCAUGAGGAAUACCAAUGGCGAAGGCAACUCUCUGGACCGUAACUGACGCUGAGGUGCGAAAGCGUGGGUAGCAAACAGGAUUAGAUACCCUGGUAGUCCACGCCGUAAACGAUGACAACUAGCCGUUGGACUUUCGGGUUCAGUGGCACAGCUAACGCAUUAAGUUGUCCGCCUGGGGAGUACGGCCGCAAGGCUAAAACUCAAAUGAAUUGACGGGGGCCCGCACAAGCGGUGGAGCAUGUGGUUUAAUUCGAUGCAACGCGAAAAACCUUACCAACCCUUGACAUCUAGUGAAAUUUCUAGAGAUAGAUUUGUGCCUUCGGGAACACUAAGACAGGUGUUGCAUGGCUGUCGUCAGCUCGUGUCGUGAGAUGUAUGGUUAAGUCCAGUAACGAGCGCAACCCUUAUCCUUAUUUGCCAGCACUUCGGGUGGGAACUCUAAGGAGACUGCCGUGAAUAACACGGAGGAAGGUGGGGACGACGUCAAGUCAUCAUGGCCCUUACGGGUUGGGCUACACACGUGCUACAAUGGGAGAUACAAUGGGUUGCGAAAGCGCGAGCUGGAGCCAAUCCCACUAAGUCUUCCUUAGUCCGGAUUGGAGUCUGCAACUCGACUCCAUGAAGCAGGAAUCGCUAGUAAUCGCGAAUCAGAAUGUCGCGGUGAAUACGUUCUCGGGCCUUGUACACACCGCCCGUCACGUCAUGGGAGUGUGUUGUACCAGAAGUGGUUUGUCUAACCUUCGGGAGGACGGCCCCCACGGUAUGAUACGCGACUGGGACGAAGUCGUAACAAGGUAGCCCUAGGGGAACCUGGGGCUGGAUCACCUCCU